This 253-nucleotide ribosomal RNA is filed under the name uncultured bacterium. Its description in RNAcentral is "partial 16S ribosomal RNA". It matches the Rfam family "Bacterial small subunit ribosomal RNA", at positions 524 to 776 of the family's 1533-position model. The record is from RNAcentral.
UACGUAGGGUGCGAGCGUUAAUCGGAAUUACUGGGCGUAAAGGGUGCGCAGGCGGCGUCGCAAGUCAGGCGUGAAAGCCCCGGGCUCAACCUGGGAACCGCGCUUGAGACUGGAGAACUAGAGUUCGGGAGAGGAUGGUGGAAUUCCCAGUGUAGAGGUGAAAUUCGUAGAUAUUGGGAAGAACACCGAUGGCGAAGGCAGCCAUCUGGACCGACACUGACGCUGAGGCGCGAAAGCGUGGGGAGCAAACAGG